RNAcentral lists this antisense RNA (140 nucleotides) under Enterobacter sp. 638. Its description in RNAcentral is "Bacterial antisense RNA HPnc0260". It matches the Rfam family "Bacterial antisense RNA HPnc0260". Lineage: Bacteria; Pseudomonadati; Pseudomonadota; Gammaproteobacteria; Enterobacterales; Enterobacteriaceae. The record is from Rfam by way of RNAcentral.
GGUAGAAAACGGGUAAUGAGCAAAUGAAGCAACAGGAGGAAUUUAGCAGACGAAUGAAUUAGGACUGAAAAUAAGGAAUGUGCACCAUUUCAGAGCUGAAAUGGUGCGUCCGAGUGGACUCGAACCACCGACCCCCACCA